Molecule: ribosomal RNA, 320 nt
Filed under: uncultured Prevotella sp.
Lineage: Bacteria; Pseudomonadati; Bacteroidota; Bacteroidia; Bacteroidales; Prevotellaceae
Description: partial 16S ribosomal RNA
Source: RNAcentral
GGAGUUUGGUCCGUGUCUCAGUACCAAUGUGGGGGACCUUCCUCUCAGAACCCCUACUGAUCGUUGCCCCGGUGGGCCGUUACCCCGCCGGCAAGCUAAUCAGACGCAUCCCCAUCCCUUACCGAUGAAUCUUUGCUCCUCGUUAGAUGCCUGCAAAGGAGAACAUAGAGUAUUAAUCCGACUUUCGCCGGGCUAUCCUCUAGUAAGGGGAAGGUUGGAUACGCGUUACUCACCCGUGCGCCGGUCGCCAUCGGGAGCCGCAAGCGACUCCCAUGCUGCCCCUCGACUUGCAUGUGUUAAGCCUGUAGCUAGCGUUCAUC